UUCGGCCUUAGUGGCGCACGGGUGAGUAACGCGUGGGAACCGGCCCUUGAGUGGGGGAUAACCUCGGGAAACUGAGGCUAAUACCGCAUAUGCCCUGAGGGGCAAAGACGCAAGUCGCUUGAGGAAGGGCCCGCGCCCGAUUAGGUAGUUGGUGUGGUAAAGGCGCACCAAGCCGACGAUCGGUAGCUGGUCUGAGAGGAUGAUCAGCCACACUGGGACUGAGGCACGGCCCAGACUCCUACGGGAGGCAGCAGUGGGGAAUAUUGGACAAUGGGCGCAAGCCUGAUCCAGCCAUGCCGCGUGAGUGAAGAAGGCCUUCGGGUUGUAAAGCUCUUUCAGCGAGGACGAUGAUGACGGUACCCGCAGAAGAAGCCCCGGCUAACUUCGUGCCAGCAGCCGCGGUAAUACGAAGGGGGCUAGCGUUGU
This 426-nucleotide ribosomal RNA is filed under the name uncultured bacterium. RNAcentral describes it as "bacterial SSU rRNA". It matches the Rfam family "Bacterial small subunit ribosomal RNA", at positions 85 to 544 of the family's 1533-position model. The record is from RNAcentral.